GAGAAGUCGGCCGUGGUAUAAAUACGGAGCGUUUUAUCACCGGAGGAGGUCGCCAGGAGGGAUGGAGAGAAGGCACAGCAGGAAAGCGGUCAAUACCCUCACAGCAGGAAGCAACAGAGCUGAACAGCUGGAGGAGGGAAGGAAAGCAGCGAGGGAAAAUGAAGUAUUAAGCCAUCUGUGAUACGAGAGCUCAUCAGUGAGGAGGAUGCCAGCAGCAACAGCGCGCCAAACAAACGUACCAAGGAGGUCAAAAAGAGGAAAGGAGACGACAGCCUACCCAGCUCCCAGACAAAGUUUGACAGCCCCAUCUACUGUGCAAAAAAAGCCAAAACCCACAAAGAUGACAAAAAAUGUGCUGGCAAUAUGCCGGUACAGACGUGUGUGUAUUUAGUGCAUGCAUAUGAAUUUUUAUUAUAGCUUUAGCAAACUGAUGAAAACAAACAAUUAAAAUAUGAGAUAUUAAUAAAAGAAAAAUGUACCUAAGAAAAAUAUUAACAGCAGCAGCGAGGGCUUAGUGUUGCUAUUUUGAAAAACCGGUUUAUUUAAUCCAUCCACACCAGUGUUCAAAAAUAAUAUUCCUACAAAAGUCACUACUCAUUACACAAUUUUCAUAAUAAAAUGCAGUUACUUCAAG
Long non-coding RNA from Maylandia zebra (zebra mbuna), 634 nucleotides. RefSeq lists it as uncharacterized. The record is from RefSeq and is a predicted model, not a curated record. Lineage: Eukaryota; Metazoa; Chordata; Actinopteri; Cichliformes; Cichlidae.